GGCAUAUCCAACGACGUCGACUUCCUUGAUCCAGCCCUAAAGUUACAACAAAAAACAAGUUGGAGCAGGAUGCUGGUCGCAGCCAAAUCCCAAUUAAACCCCAGGCAACAGCCUCCUCCCCGGAGCUAAGUUUUUAGAAGACUUUCCGGUCGUGCUUCCCCAACUGUAUCAUCUUCCCUUCAUAGUUUCAGUAGAGAUGGUGAGCCAAAGACAGAGAUUAGCCCGCAAGCGAUACAGAGAAGCGCACCCGGAGCUAUUCCCUAAACCAGAGCCAACACCACCAAAAGACCCCGACAAGAAGAAGAAAAAAAAUAAGAGCAAGUUCAAGCGAGAAAGGUCAGAGUACAAAGAACCCAGAGAUCCAAAUGAGCCCAACGAAAAGAGGUUUAAAAAACACCCAUUUAGGGUCCCUGGCAUGAAGCCGGGUGAAAGUUGUUUUAUUUGCAAGGCCAAGGAUCAUAUUGCCAAGCUUUGCCCUCAAAAAGCAGAAUGGGAAAAGAACAAGAUAUGCUUGCUUUGUCGGCAGCGAGGGCAUAGCCUCAAGCGUUGCCCUAACAAGAAGGACGAGACUGUUGAUAAGAAAUUGUGCUAUAAUUGCGGGGAAUCUGGGCAUUCGCUAUCUAAAUGUCCCCAGCCUCUUCAAGAUGGUACCUUUAUUUCUCAAUCUCUCCUCACUUCAAGAUAUAUUGUAAAUACAAAAAAUCUGGUGGUUAGUUUGUCUAGUUGCUGAGUUGUUUUGAUUGAUAGCUUGUUGGUGAAUACAACAUGAUAUUUCACCUUAUAAUUAGUGAAUUAGACAAUUUCAAGGUCUGCCUUAAACAUGAUUUUUUCUUCAUGACAGCAAUGACUUGCCAUUGUCAUACCCUUCAAACUGGAAAGAAAACUGUGAAGUUUUGGAGGAAAAAUAUUAUAGAUGAAUAUUGCAAAAUCUUUCUUUCCUUUUUCUUUCUCCCCCUAGGUGUUUGAUUUAGGAGUUUCAUUAAGGAGAUUUAACAGAUAAGUUCAAAUGGCUGUCUAAUGUCUAUGAACUUGAAAAAAAGGAAAAAAAGAAGGUUUCAGUUUUAUUCCAUUCUAUAGGACAGGGGAUAAAAGAAUAUGAGAUACUUAUAAUUACGAAUGCGAUAUUCCAAGGCUUACACCUUCUCACGUAUCUAAGUUAGUAAGGAGGCUUGAAGUACCUUGGUUACCUACCUCUAUGAUUUUGGGAAGUACAUUUAUCCUUUUUGAUAACUCAUUUGGGCUAAAGCUUAAUCUUUUGUUGUUUUAUGAAUCAUGAUUGUCUCUUUGGAAAUCCAGGGGGAACAAAAUUUGCCAAUUGCUUUAUCUGUAAUGAACAUGGACAUUUGAGCAAGGACUGCCCUCAAAAUACUCGUGGGAUAUACCCAAAGGUAUGUCAAACGCUACAUUUAAUGUUGAUGUUGUUAAAAUGCAGGCUGCUCUGCUCCUGGAAUGUGGGACUACAUGCUUAAUACAUGGAUGCUUACUGAUUUAAUUUUUCAGCUGAGUAAUCUGCACUGUACAUCCACUGAUGCUAACAUCUUGUAAAUAUGCAACAGGGGGGUUGCUGUAAAAUAUGUGGUGGUGUGACACAUUUAGCAAAACAUUGUCCUGACAAGGGUAAGAGAGACUCUCUUACCUCUGUUAAAGAAGGUAAGACGUACAAAUUUCUUACAGUUAUUGCCAACUUCCUAUUCAAGCAAUUUUGUAACUGGUGAUGAUAAAGUUAGCACAUAGGAUAGUGGCAUCUAGUUCCUUCAUAUGUAACAGCGACUUAACCUUUUUGUGGCAAAGAAACGCUAUUGAAUAUGAGAAGAUAUUUCAACAAGGAUAGCUUGGUUCAAGCAUAUAUGGUGUCUACUGACCUCAAUUUAACAUCAGGUUGAUAAGAUGUGUUCCUUUAUUUGAGCCACUUGGUAGAAAUGUUUGUCUCCUCGAUGACAUGUUAAUUACAUGUAAAUGUUAUCUUACAAUGGGAACCAAGAAAAAUGAUGGGGAAAAUAUUAAACUAGAGAAGGAUUUUGUACUAAUAGUCUGGAAUUUUUAUAAUUGCAAGCAAUAUUUUUGCAUUCUAUGAUUUCCUGCUAAAGCAUUAUUAACUGCUAGGAUGUUCCAAAUCCUUUGUUUUUGCUUAAUAUGGCAUGCCAGAUUUUCACUUAACCUUCUAUUCAUUUCAGCAAUCGAAAAAGGUGAAAGGCCAACUCCCAAGGUGACCAAGUUUGUAAGUGGGGAUGAGUUAGAUGAUGAUUUUGUGACAGAAAACACGAAUGGCAUCCAGCAAGAAAAGCCAGCGGAUUCAAAAGAUAGUCAUGCAGAAUCAAAGAAGAAGCAAGGGCACAGAGUGGUGAACUUCACAUGAUAGAAACUGCCUUGCGAUGAAUACCAUGAACUUUCUUUGAUCCGAGCAAUGACUGGAUAUACAGGAGUCUUAAAGAUCUCAUUUUCUUUCAAAUCUAUUUUUCUUUUUUCUCCUUUUUUUCAAUAGCAUUACCUACAGUUAAGAGAAAAUUGUUGAGUCUGUAGUGGUGAUUUUGCUAAUACCUUUUGUCCAAAAUCUUCAUAGUCCAAAAUUGACCGUUGAUCAUGUUCUCAUGCAGUGCAAAUCGUGGGGACAAUCUGGACAGGACAAUUGACAAUGAAAAUAAGUAUACUAACGGCUUCAUCAUUCUUGUAUGUUCAUGAAUGAGUAAUGAUUUCAAAAAAAUGCCAUAACCUUGGCUAUUUCUAUUUUUAUUUUUUCCUUCAUAAUUUAACAACUCAUAUGGAUAGUGCUUGAAUUAA
This 2778-nucleotide unclassified non-coding RNA is filed under the name Hevea brasiliensis (rubber tree). The record is from RNAcentral. Lineage: Eukaryota; Viridiplantae; Streptophyta; Magnoliopsida; Malpighiales; Euphorbiaceae.